Long non-coding RNA from Cucurbita moschata (crookneck pumpkin), 482 nucleotides. RefSeq lists it as uncharacterized. NCBI's taxonomy places the organism in Eukaryota, Viridiplantae, Streptophyta, Magnoliopsida, Cucurbitales, Cucurbitaceae. The record is from RefSeq and is a predicted model, not a curated record. The transcript has 3 exons.
UUCCUUGUCUGUCACCAUUGAAAAUUGUUACUGACAGAAUUUUAAUGGCUUGGGUGGAAGCUUUGACAAAUUGAUAAGCUUACUGGUUAGUUUAUUACAGAGAUCUGAUCUUGAUUUGGUCUUCCGCAGGAUCUGCCAAGUUCGUGGAUGUUGUCCCUUGAAGGAAAGAGAAAGAGGUUGACUACUUGGUCAGCAAUAAUGUGCUAAUCCUAAAGUUACUCCAGACGUAACGAGACAUUCUUUAUAAGGGUGUAGAAAUCUCUCUCUAGUGGAUGCGUUUUAAAAACUUUGAGAGAAAGUCCAAAGAGGGCAAUAUCUGCUUACGGUGGAUUUGGGCUCUUACAAGGAGGGGGAGCUGGAGCUUUCAGUCGCUUUGUUCGUCAUCAAGGAUGGAGAGGGAUUCUUCCAUUGUGAAACUCCAUCAACAACAAUGGUAGCAGAGGAGCAACAAAGCUGAAUCAACAACGCUUGAAAGCCGAAGA